RNAcentral lists this ribosomal RNA (496 nucleotides) under uncultured bacterium. Its description in RNAcentral is "partial 16S ribosomal RNA". It matches the Rfam family "Bacterial small subunit ribosomal RNA", at positions 28 to 507 of the family's 1533-position model. The record is from RNAcentral.
GACGAACGCUGGCGGCGUGCCUAAUACAUGCAAGUCGAACGAUGGAGCGAGGAGCUUGCUCUUCUUUUAUAAGUGGCGAACGGGUGAGUAACGCGUGGAUAACCUCCCUUUAAGCCGGGGAUAACUAUGGGAAACGGGAGCUAAUACCGCAUAAUAUUUUGACACGCAUGUUUCAUAUUUGAAAGCGGCUAUUGCUCCACUUCAUGCUGGACCUCCGGUGAAUUAGCUUGUUGGUAAGGUAAAGGCUCACCAAGGCAACGAUGCAUAGCCGACCUGGGAGGGUGAUCGGCCACACGGGAACGGAGACACGGUCCAGACUCCUACGGGAGGCACCAGUAGGGAAUCUUCCGCAAUGGGGGAAAGCCUGACGGAGCAACGCGGCGUGAGUGAUGAAGGUCUUCGGAUCGUAAAACCCGGUUAGUAGGGAAGAACAGAUGUGUAAGUAACUGUGCACAUCUUGACGGUACCUAAUCAGAAAGCCACGGCUAACUACGUG